AGAGUUUGAUCCUGGCUCAGAAUCAACGCUGGCGGCGCGCCUAACACAUGCAAGUCGAACGAGAAAGUGGAGCAAUCCAUGAGUACAGUGGCGUACGGGUGAGUAACACGUGGGUAAUCUACCUUUUAGUGAGGAAUAACCGAGGGAAACUUCGGCUAAUACCGCAUAAGCCUGAGAAGGGAAAGCAGAAAUGCGCUGAAAGAGGAGCCCGCGGCCGAUUAGCUAGUUGGUGAGGUAAGAGCCCACCAAGGCAGAGAUCGGUAGCCGGCCUGAGAGGGCACACGGCCACACUGGCACUGAAACACGGGCCAGACUCCUACGGGAGGCAGCAGUGGGGAAUCUUGCACAAUGGGGGAAACCCUGAUGCAGCGACGCCGCGUGAGCGAUGAAGCCCUUCGGGGUGUAAAGCUCUUUCGUCAGGGAAGAUAGUGACGGUACCUGGAGAAGCAGCUGCGGCUAACUACGUGCCAGCAGCCGCGGUAAUACGUAGGCAGCAAGCGUUGUUCGGAGUUACUGGGCGUAAAGGGUGUGUAGGCGGUUCUUUAAGUUUGCUGUGAAAUCUCCCGGCUUAACCGGGAGGGUGCGGUGAAUACUGAGGGACUAGAGUACGGGAGAGGAAAGUGGAAUUCCUGGUGUAGCGGUGAAAUGCGUAGAUAUCAGGAGGAACACCGGUGGUGUAGACGGCUUUCUGGACCGACACUGACGCUGAGACACGAAAGCGUGGGUAGCAAACAGGAUUAGAUACCCUAGUAGUCC
Molecule: ribosomal RNA, 756 nt
Filed under: uncultured bacterium
Lineage: Bacteria
Description: bacterial SSU rRNA
Rfam family: Bacterial small subunit ribosomal RNA
Source: RNAcentral